UGGAGGAAAGUAGGGGAUCGAAAGACCUUGCGCUUUUGGAGCGGCCGAUGUCUGAUUAGCUAGUUGGUGGGGUAAGGGCCUACCAAGGCGACGAUCAGUAGUCGGUCUGAGAGGACGACCAGCCACACUGGGACUGAGACACGGCCCAGACUCCUACGGGAGGCAGCAGUGGGGAAUUUUGGACAAUGGGCGCAAGCCUGAUCCAGCAAUGCCGCGUGAGUGAAGAAGGCCUUCGGGUUGUAAAGCUCUUUCAGUUGAGAAGAAAAGAUUGUGACUAAUAAUUGCAAUUCAUGACGGUAUCAACAGAAGAAGCACCGGCUAACUACGUGCCAGCAGCCGCGGUAAUACGUAGGGUGCGAGCGUUAAUCGGAAUUACUGGGCGUAAAGGGUGCGCAGGCGGUUCUGUAAGUCAGAUGUGAAAUCCCCGGGCUUAACCUGGGAACUGCGUUUGAAACUACAAAGCUAGA
This 467-nucleotide ribosomal RNA is filed under the name uncultured bacterium. Its description in RNAcentral is "bacterial SSU rRNA". It matches the Rfam family "Bacterial small subunit ribosomal RNA", at positions 197 to 645 of the family's 1533-position model. The record is from RNAcentral.